GAUGAAGAACGCAGCGAAAUGCGAUAAGUAAUGUGAAUUGCAGAAUUCAGUGAAUCAUCGAAUCUUUGAACGCACAUUGCGCCCGCCAGUAUUCUGGCGGGCAUGCCUGUCCGAGCGUCAUUUCAACCCUCGAACCCCUCCGGGGGGUCGGCGUUGGGGAUCGGCCCUUUACGGGGCCGGCCCCGAAAUACAGUGGCGGUCUCGCCGCAGCCUCUCCUGCGCAGUAGUUUGCACACUCGCAUCGGGAGCGCGGCGCGUCCACAGCCGUUAAACACCCCAAACUUCUGAAAUGUUGACCUCGGAUCAGGUAGGAAUACCCGCUGAACUUAAGCAUAUCAAUAAGCAGAGGA
This 350-nucleotide unclassified non-coding RNA is filed under the name soil metagenome. RNAcentral describes it as "partial contains 5.8S ribosomal RNA, internal transcribed spacer 2, and large subunit ribosomal RNA". The stretch from base 1 to 120 matches the Rfam family "5.8S ribosomal RNA", at positions 35 to 154 of the family's 154-position model. The record is from RNAcentral.